This 251-nucleotide ribosomal RNA is filed under the name uncultured prokaryote. RNAcentral describes it as "partial 16S rRNA". It matches the Rfam family "Bacterial small subunit ribosomal RNA", at positions 525 to 775 of the family's 1533-position model. The record is from RNAcentral.
ACGUAGGUGGCGAGAGUUGUCCGGAAUUACUGGGUGUAAAGGGAGCGCAGGCGGGGAGACAAGUCAGCUGUGAAAACUAUCGGCUUAACUGAUAGGGUGCAGGUGAAAAUGUUUAUCUUGAGUGGAGCAGAGGCGGGGGGAAUUCCGAGGGUAGCGGUGAAAUGCGUAUAUUUUCGGAGGAACACCAGUGGCGAAGGCGGCCUACUGGUAUUUAACCGACGCUGAGGCUCGAAAGUGUGUGGAGCAAACAG